Xyrichtys novacula (pearly razorfish) is the source of this 7582-nucleotide non-coding RNA. NCBI's taxonomy places the organism in Eukaryota, Metazoa, Chordata, Actinopteri, Labriformes, Labridae. The record is from the annotation of a GenBank genome assembly.
CAUGUCAGGCUUGUGGCUUUGAUGAAAAAGGACAUUGUCAGUGCUCUUCCACGUUGUCCCCCAUAUCUCAAAAAAUACAACUUACUGUACAUGUACAAUGACACCUUUGUGCACUACUGUAUCUUGCCAGUUUAGAGACCUUGUAUUUUGGCACACUGUAUUGCAGCCCUCCCCAAAAAAAUUCAUAUCCAAACUGAGGCCUUAAGAGCGAAAGCUUUGAAUGCAACCUCAUUCGACUGCAUACAAAGAUAUAUCAAAUUCACAGAUGCUCUAGAAAAAACAUGACCAACUCCCUGGUGGUCUAGUGGUUAGGAUUCGGCGCUCUCACCGCCGCGGCCCGGGUUCGAUUCCCGGUCAGGGAAUACACUCUUUGAACAUCUGGGGCCUCAUGUAUCAACACUUGCGUGGAACUCAUACCAGAAACGAGCGCACGCAAGGUCCGUCACGCUGAAAAAAAUCCGUAUGUAUCAAUGUGUGCGGGCGCCGAAAUCCACGUGUGUUUCCUUGAUAAAUCCCAAUCAGCGUGGAAUUGAGCGCAGAUGUCGGAGUGACUGGGCCCGUCCCCGUUACGCCCUCCUAUAAAUAUGCAGAUUUAUUUAAAUAGGGUCUCCCUGUCCUCGCACGCAGACAAAAUGACAAGAAAAACUACAUUUACGGCGUGCGAGGUGGAGGUGCUGGUGGCGGAGGUGGAGGAGCGACAGCGUGUUUUGUUUGGCAGCCUGUCCAGUGGCGUCAGUGCAAAACAAAAACGCUUGGAGUGGGAGAAAGUUUGCGAGAGGGUGAAUGCGGUGGGUUCCGAGACACGCACCCCCGCGGAGAUUAAAAAAGUGGUCGGACCUCAAGGUGGAGGUCAAGCGGCGUACAGCUGCCCUCCGGAGGAGUACCGGCCAGACAGGUGGGGGUCCGGGGGAGGAGACCCUCACACCGUUUGAGCAGCGGGUGGUGGCGAUUAUUAUUAUAGGGUAAGUGGCGUGUCACACAAAUGUCCACAUGCUUUGUCAUCCCACUGAGCAAAAGACGUAUAUUAGACGUCUAGUCUAAGUUUAUACUUCAUUUCAACGUCGGGAUUCAGUCUAUUUUUAGACGUGAUUUAUACUUCGCCCUUAACUUCAUUUUUCAAUAACUUUUUAUGCAAUAAACAACUGUAAUGUGCAUAACUGACCUCGAAAUACUGGAUUACAUUACCUAUGAUACUGUGGAGAGAGAUGUAAAUGCAACAGAUACACAGAAGCAGGAAUUGAAAUGAACAAAUAUUUUUAUUGUGUCACAGAAAUUAAUGUGUCGGCCGUGUCGCCGGCUUGCGGAACCCCGGCCCGCGGCAGCCCGUCCGCCGGCUCGGAGUCGUCGGCCAGGACCAGCGGCAUUCGGGCCACCCCGGCCCCAGCACCAGCAUCAGCACCAGCGCGCCGACAAGCGGUGGAGCGUCCACCAGCCGCGGCGCUUCCGCUGGACCACCCGGACGCAGUGGAAGGGUCCUCGCGGAGGGGGUCCUGCAAUCGCAGGAAGAAAUCAUCAGGGGGAUCGCGGGGAUCAACGAGCGGCUGGACCGGCUCGUAAAUUUCCUCGAGCGUCUGGUGGAGAAAAUAAAUUAAUUUGGCUCAUUGAACUGUGUAUUCACUUCUUACCCAUUCACACUGUGGCGAUGAGAUUCUCCCGCGCGAGGACGGCGGCCCGGCAGGGAUCAGCUCGCAUCCCUCCGUCUGCUGCUGGUUCGUCAUGUGGGGCGACGUGCUGCCCGGCCACGGGGAUGUGGUGCACGCUUGUCACAUAGUGAGUCACCAAACACCGCCACACAGCGUCGCCAAAGUGCAAAUCACAGUCAACGCAAAUAUCCAGCUCAACGCCAAUUUCUACACCACCUCCUGACUUUGCGUUGAUUAGCGCUGGAACCGACGCUCGUUUCGCGAUGAUAAAUCUGGACGUGUGCGCCGAUUUUGGCGUACGCAAGGUUUUCUUGCGCCGCAAGCGUUGAUACAUGAGGCCCCUGGUGUCCUCUCUAUAUAGUGAAGCUUGGUCACGGUGGGGGUGCCAUGUCAGGCUUGUGGCUUUGAUGAAAAAGGACAUUGUCAGUGCUCUUCCACGUUGUCCCCCAUAUCUCAAAAAAUACAACUUACUGUACAUGUACAAUGACACCUUUGUACACUACCGUAUCUUGCCAGUUUAGAGACCUCGUAUUUUGGCACACUGUAUUGCAGCCCUCCCAAAAAAAGAUUCAUAUCCAAACUGAGGCCUUAAGAGCAACUGCUUUGAACACAACCUCAUUCGACUGCAUACAAAGAUAUAUCAAAUUCACAGAUGCUCUAGAAAAAACAUGACCAACUCCCUGGUGGUCUAGUGGUUAGGAUUCGGCGCUCUCACCGCCGCGGCCCGGGUUCGAUUCCCGGUCAGGGAAUACACUCUUUGAACAUCUGGUGUCCUCUCUGAAUACUGAAGCUUGGUCACGGUGGGGGUGCCAUGUCAGGCUUGUGGCUUUGAUGAAAAAGGACAUUGUCAGUGCUCUUCCACGUUGUCCCCCAUAUCUCAAAAAAUACAACUUACUGUACAUGUACAAUGACACCUUUGUACACUACCGUAUCUUGCCAGUUUAGAGACCUUGUAUUUUGGCACACUGUAUUGCAGCCCUCCCAAAAAAGAUUCAUAUCCAAACUGAGGCCUUAAGAGCAACUGCUUUGAACACAACCUCAUUCGACUGCAUACAAAGAUAUAUCAAAUUCACAGAUGCUCUAGAAAAAACAUGACCAACUCCCUGGUGGUCUAGUGGUUAGGAUUCGGCGUUGGCGUUUCACCGCCGCGGCCGGGUUCGAUUCCCGGUCAGGGAAUACACUCUUGAACAUCUGGUGUCCUCUCUGUAUAGUGAAGCUUGGUCACGGUGGGGGUGCCAUGUCAGGCUUGUGGCUUUGAUGAAAAAGGACAUUGUCAGUGCUCUUCCACGUUGUCCCCCAUAUCUCAAAAAAUACAACUUACUGUACAUGUACAAUGACACCUUUGUACACUGUUGUAUCUUGCCAGUUUAGAGACCUCGUAUUUUGGCACACUGUAUUGCAGCCCUCCCAAAAAAAGAUUCAUAUCCAAACUGAGGCCUUAAGAGCAACUGCUUUGAACACAACCUCAUUCGACUGCAUACAAAGAUAUAUCAAAUUCACAGAUGCUCUAGAAAAACCAUGACCAACUCCCUGGUGGUCUAGUGGUUAGGAUUCGGCGCUCUCACCGCCGCGGCCAGGUUUCGAUUCCCGGUCAGGGAAUACACUCUUUGAACAUCUGGUGUCCUCUCUGUAUAGUGAAGCUUGGUCACGGUGGGGGUGCCAUGUCAGGCUUGUGGCUUUGAUGAAAAAGGACAUUGUCAGUGCUCUUCCACGUUGUCACCCAAAUCUCAAAAAAUACAACUUACUGUACAUGUACAAUGACACCUAUGUACACUACUGUAUCUUGCCACUUUAGAGACCUUGUAUUUUGGCACACUGUAUUGCAGCCCUCCCAAAAAAGAUUCAUAUCCAAACUGAGGCCUUAAGAGCAACUGCUUUGAACACAACCUCAUUCGACUGCAUACAAAGAUAUAUCAAAUUCACAGAUGCUCUAGAAAACCCAUGACCAACUCCCUGGUGGUCUAGUGGUUAGGAUUCGGCGUUUUCACCGCCGCGGCCCGGGUUCGAUUCCCGGUCAGGGAAUACACUCUUUGAACAUCUGGUGUCCUCUCUGUAUAGUGAAGCUUGGUCACGGUGGGGGUGCCAUGUCAGGCUUGUGGCUUUGAUGAAAAAGGACAUUGACAGUGCUCUUCCACAUUGUCCCCCAUAUCUCAAAAAAUACAACUUACUGUACAUGUACAAUGACACCUUUGUACACUACCGUAUCUUGCCAGUUUAGAGACCUCAUAUUUUGGCACACUGUAUUGCAGCCCUCCCAAAAAAGAUUCAUAUCCAAACUGAGGCCUUAAGAGCAACUGCUUUGAACACAACCUCAUUCGACUGCAUACAAAGAUAUAUCAAAUUCAAAGAUGCUCUAGAAAAAACAUGACCAACUCCCUGGUGGUCUAGUGGUUAGGAUUCGGCGUUUUCACCGCCGCGGCCCGGGUUCGAUUCCCGGUCAGGGAAUACACUCUUUGAACAUCUGGUGUCCUCUCUGUAUAGUGAAGCUUGGUCACGGUGGGGGUGCCAUGUCAGGCUUGUGGCUUUGAUGAAAAAGGACAUUGUCAGUGCUCUUCCACGUUGUCCCCCAUAUCUCAAAAAAUACAACUUACUGUACAUGUACAAUGACACCUUUGUACACUACCGUAUCUUGCCAGUUUAGAGACCUCGUAUUUUGGCACACUGUAUUGCAGCCCUCCCAAAAAAGAUUCAUAUCCAAACUGAGGCCUUAAGAGCAACUGCUUUGAACACAACCUCAUUCGACUGCAUACAAAGAUAUAUCAAAUUCAAAGAUCCUCUAGAAAAAACAUGACCAACUCCCUGGUGGUCUAGUGGUUAGGAUUCGGCGCUCUCACCGCCGCGGCCCGGGUUCGAUUCCCGGUCAGGGAAUACACUCUUUGAACAUCUGGUGUCCUCUCUGUAUAGUGAAGCUUGGUCACGGUGGGGGUGCCAUGUCAGGCUUGUGGCUUUGAUGAAAAAGGACAUUGUCAGUGCUCUUCCAUGUUGUCCCCCAUAUCUCAAAAAAUACAACUUACUGUACAUGUACAAUGACACCUUUGUGCACUACUGUAUCUUGCCAGUUUAGAGACCUUGUAUUUUGGCACACUGUAUUGCAGCCCUCCCAAAAAGAUUCAUAUCCAAACUGAGGCCUUAAGAGCGAAAGCUUUGAACAACCUCAUUCGACUGCAUACAAAGAUAUAUCAAAUUCACAGAUGCUCUAGAAAAAACAUGACCAACUCCCUGGUGGUCUAGUGGUUAGGAUUCGGCGCUCUCACCGCCGCGGCCCGGGUUCGAUUCCCGGUCAGGGAAUACACUCUUUGAACAUCUGGUGUCCUCUCUGUAUAGUGAAGCUUGGUCACGGUGGGGGUGCCAUGUCAGGCUUGUGGCUUUGAUGAAAAAGGACAUUGUCAGUGCUCUUCCACGUUGUCCCCCAUAUCUCAAAAAAUACAACUUACUGUACAUGUACAAUGACACCUUUGUACACUACCGUAUCUUGCCAGUUUAGAGACCUCGUAUUUUGGCACACUGUAUUGCAGCCCUCCCAAAAAAGAUUCAUAUCCAAACUGAGGCCUUAAGAGCAACUGCUUUUAACACAACCUCAUUCGACUGCAUACAAAGAUAUAUCAAAUUCACAGAUGCUCUAGAAAAAACAUGACCAACUCCCUGGUGGUCUAGUGGUUAGGAUUCGGCGUUUUCACCGCCGCGGCCCGGGUUCGAUUCCCGGUCAGGGAAUACACUCUUUGAACAUCUGGUGUCCUCUCUGUAUAGUGAAGCUUGGUCACGGUGGGGGUGCCAUGUCAGGCUUGUGGCUUUGAUGAAAAAGGACAUUGUCAGUGCCCUUCCACGUUGUCCCCCAUAUCUCUCAAAAAAUACAACUUACUGUACAUGUACAAUGACACCUUUGUACACUGUUGUAUCUUGCCAGUUUAGAGACCUCGUAUUUUGGCACACUGUAUUGCAGCCCUCCCAAAAAAGAUUCAUAUCCAAACUGAGGCCUUAAGAGCAACUGCUUUGAACACAACCUCAUUCGACUGCAUACAAAGAUAUAUCAAAUUCACAGAUGCUCUAGAAAAAACAUGACCAACUCCCUGGUGGUCUAGUGGUUAGGAUUCGGCGUUUCACCGCCGCGGCCCGGGUUCGAUUCCCGGUCAGGGAAUACACUCUUUGAACAUCUGGUGUCCUCUCUGUAUAGUGAAGCUUGGUCACGGUGGGGGUGCCAUGUCAGGCUUGUGGCUUUGAUGAAAAAGGACAUUGUCAGUGCUCUUCCAAAUUGUCCCCCAUAUCUCAAAAAAUACAACUUACUGUACAUGUACAAUGACACCUUUGUGCACUACUGUAUCUUGCCAGUAUACAGACCGUGUAUUUUGGCACACUGUAUUGCAGCCCUCCCAAAAAAGAUUCAUAUCCAAACUGAGGCCUUAAGAGCAACUGCUUUGAACACAACCUCAUUCGACUGCAAACAAAGAUAUAUCAAAUUCACAGAUGCUCUAGAAAAAACAUGACCAACUCCCUGGUGGUCUAGUGGUUAGGAUUCGGCAUUUUCACCGCCGCGGCCCGGGUUCGAUUCCCGGUCAGGGAAUACACUCUUUGAACAUCUGGUGUCCUCUCUGAAUACUGAAGCUUGGUCACGGUGGGGGUGCCAUGUCAGGCUUGUGGCUUUGAUGAAAAAGGACAUUGUCAGUUCUCUUCCACGUUGUCACCCAAAUCUCAAAAAAUACAACUUACUGUACAUGUACAAUGACACCUAUGUACACUACUGUAUCUUGCCACUUUAGAGACCUCAUAUUUUGGCACACUGUAUUGCAGCCCUCCCAAAAAAGAUUCAUAUCCAAACUGAGGCCUUAAGAGCAACUGCUUUGAACACAACCUCAUUCGACUGCAUACAAAGAUAUAUCAAAUUCACAGAUGCUCUAGAAAACCCAUGACCAACUCCCUGGUGGUCUAGUGGUUAGGAUUCGGCGUUUUCACCGCCGCGGCCCGGGUUCGAUUCCCGGUCAGGGAAUACACUCUUUGAACAUCUGGUGUCCUCUCUGUAUAGUGAAGCUUGGUCACGGUGGGGGUGCCAUGUCAGGCUUGUGGCUUUGAUGAAAAAGGACAUUGUCAGUGCUCUUCCACGUUGUCCCCCAUAUCUCAAAAAAUACAACUUACUGUACAUGUACAAUGACACCUUUGUACACUACCGUAUCUUGCCAGUUUAGAGACCUCGUAUUUUGGCACACUGUAUUGCAGCCCUUCCAAAAAAGAUUCAUAUCCAAACUGAGGCCUUAAGAGCAACUGCUUUGAACACAACCUCAUUCGACUGCAUACAAAGAUAUAUCAAAUUCAAAGAUCCUCUAGAAAAAACAUGACCAACUCCCUGGUGGUCUAGUGGUUAGGAUUCGGCGCUCUCACCGCCGCGGCCCGGGUUCGAUUCCCGGUCAGGGAAUACACUCUUUGAACAUCUGGUGUCCUCUCUGUAUAGUGAAAAUUGGUCACGGUGGGUGUGCCAUGUCAGGCUUGUGGCUUUGAUGAAAAAGGAAAUUGUCAGUGCUCUUCCACGUUGUCCCCCAUAUCUCAAAAAAUACAACUUACUGUACAUGUACAAUGACACCUUUGUGCACUACUGUAUCUUGCCAGUUUAGAGACCUUGUAUUUUGGCACACUGUAUUGCAGCCCUCCCAAACGAAAUUCAUAUCCAAACUGAGGCCUUAAGAGCGAAAGCUUUGAAUGCAACCUCAUUCGACUGCAAACAAAGAUAUAUCAAAUUCACAGAUGCUCUAGAAAAAACAUGACCAACUCCCUGGUGGUCUAGUGGUUAGGAUUCGGCGCUCUCACCGCCGCGGCCCGGGUUCGAUUCCCGGUCAGGGAAUACACUCUUUGAACAUCUGGUGUCCUCUCUGUAUAGUGAAGCUUGGUCACGGUGGGGGUGCCAUGUCAGGCUUGUGGCUUUGAUGAAAAAGGACAUUGUCAGUGCUCUUCCA